Molecule: ribosomal RNA, 497 nt
Filed under: uncultured bacterium
Lineage: Bacteria
Description: partial 16S ribosomal RNA
Rfam family: Bacterial small subunit ribosomal RNA
Source: RNAcentral
GAUGAACGCUGGCGGCGUGCCUAAUACAUGCAAGUCGCGCGAACGGACGAGAAGCUUGCUUCUCUGAUGUUAGCGGCGGACGGGUGAGUAACACGUGGAUAACCUACCUAUAAGACUGGGAUAACUUCGGGAAACCGUAGCUAAUACCGGAUAAUAUUUUGAACCGCAUGGUUCAAAAGUGAAAGACGGUCUUGCUGUCACUUAUAGAUGGAUCCGCGCUGCAUUAGCUAGUUGGUAAGGUAACGGCUUACCAAGGCAACGAUGCAUAGCCGACCUGAGAGGGUGAUCGGCCACACUGGAACUGAGACACGGUCCAGACUCCUACGGGAGGCAGCAGUAGGGAAUCUUCCGCAAUGGGCGAAAGCCUGACGGAGCAACGCCGCGUGAGUGAUGAAGGUCUUCGGAUCGUAAAACUCUGUUAUUAGGGAAGAACAUAUGUGUAAGUAACUGUGCACAUCUUGACGGUACCUAAUCAGAAAGCCACGGCUAACUACGUG